AAUCCAUAGGUUAAUGAGGCGAACCGGGGGAACUGAAACAUCUAAGUACCCCGAGGAAAAGAAAUCAACCGAGAUUCCCCCAGUAGCGGCGAGCGAACGGGGAGGAGCCCAGAGCCUGAAUCAGCAUGUGUGUUAGUGGAAGCGUCUGGAAAGGCGCGCGAUACAGGGUGACAGCCCCGUACACAAAAGCGCAUGUGCUGUGAGCUCGAUGAGUAGGGCGGGACACGUGGUAUCCUGUCUGAAUAUGGGGGGACCAUCCUCCAAGGCUAAAUACUCCUGACUGACCGAUAGUGAACCAGUACCGUGAGGGAAAGGCGAAAAGAACCCCGGCGAGGGGAGUGAAAAAGAACCUGAAACCGUGUACGUACAAGCAGUGGGAGCACAGGUUUACCUGUGUGACUGCGUACCUUUUGUAUAAUGGGUCAGCGACUUAUAUUCUGUAGCAAGGUUAACCGAAUAGGGGAGCCGGAGGGAAACCGAGUCUUAACCGGGCGUUAAGUUGCAGGGUAUAGACCCGAAACCCGGUGAUCUAGCCAUGGGCAGGUUGAAGGUUGGGUAACACUAACUGGAGGACCGAACCGACUAAUGUUGAAAAAUUAGCGGAUGACCUGUGGCUGGGGGUGAAAGGCCAAUCAAACCGGGAGAUAGCUGGUUCUCCCCGAAAGCUAUUUAGGUAGCGCCUCGUGAAUUCAUCUCCGGGGGUAGAGCACUGUUUCGGCUAGGGGGCCAUCCCGGCUUACCAACCCGAUGCAAACUGCGAAUACCGGAGAAUGUUAUCACGGGAGACACACGGCGGGUGCUAACGUCCGUCGUGAAGAGGGAAACAACCCAGACCGCCAGCUAAGGUCCCAAAGUCAUGGUUAAGUGGGAAACGAUGUGGGAAGGCCCAGACAGCCAGGAUGUUGGCUUAGAAGCAGCCAUCAUUUAAAGAAAGCGUAAUAGCUCACUGGUCGAGUCGGCCUGCGCGGAAGAUGUAACGGGGCUAAACCAUGCACCGAAGCUGCGGCAGCGAACGUAUCACUUAAAGCGAUUCAGCGGGUUACGAUUGACGGAGCGAAGCGACGUCAAAGCGUAUACAAAGUCGAGUCGGUUUAAGGAUACGUUCGUUGGGUAGGGGAGCGUUC
RNAcentral lists this ribosomal RNA (1124 nucleotides) under Salmonella enterica. RNAcentral describes it as "partial 23S ribosomal RNA". It matches the Rfam family "Bacterial large subunit ribosomal RNA", at positions 161 to 1241 of the family's 2925-position model. RNAcentral also lists the same sequence under 1 other name. Lineage: Bacteria; Pseudomonadati; Pseudomonadota; Gammaproteobacteria; Enterobacterales; Enterobacteriaceae. The record is from RNAcentral.